AUUGAACGCUGGCGGAAUGCUUUACACAUGCAAGUCGAACGGCAGCACGGGGCAACCUGGUGGCGAGUGGCGAACGGGUGAGUAAUAUAUCGGAACGUGCCCAAUCGUGGGGGAUAACGUAGCGAAAGUUACGCUAAUACCGCAUACGAUCUACGGAUGAAAGCGGGGGAUCGCAAGACCUCGCGCGAAUGGAGCGGCCGAUAUCAGAUUAGGUAGUUGGUGGGGUAAGGGCCUACCAAGCCAAUGAUCGGUAGCCGGCCUGAGAGGGUGAACGGCCACAUUGGAACUGAGAGACGGUCCAAACUCCUACGGGAGGCAGCAGUGGGGAAUUUUGGACAAUGGGCGCAAGCCUGAUCCAGCAAUGCCGCGUGCAGGAUGAAGGCCUUCGGGUUGUAAACUGCUUUUGUACGGAACGAAACGGUGAGCUCUAAUAAAGCUUGCUAAUGACGGUACCGUAAGAAUAAGCACCGGCUAACUACGUGCCAGUAGCCGCGGUAAACUGUAGUCGU
This 509-nucleotide ribosomal RNA is filed under the name uncultured bacterium. Its description in RNAcentral is "bacterial SSU rRNA". It matches the Rfam family "Bacterial small subunit ribosomal RNA", at positions 30 to 533 of the family's 1533-position model. The record is from RNAcentral.